Long non-coding RNA from Trichoplusia ni (cabbage looper), 932 nucleotides. RefSeq lists it as uncharacterized. NCBI's taxonomy places the organism in Eukaryota, Metazoa, Arthropoda, Insecta, Lepidoptera, Noctuidae. The record is from RefSeq and is a predicted model, not a curated record. The transcript is spliced from 3 exons.
AUAUAGAGUAUCAGUUUAGUUUUCGUCCCGUCAAAGAUCGGCCGCAAAAUUUGAUUUUCCGGAGUUUAUUUUUAAAAUUUAUAAAAAUUAUUAGGUGUCAAUGACAAAAACGAAGAGAAAGUUCGCGAUAACCGACAAAUUUCUACCAAGGCUCGCUAAAAACCUGUGCACCAGAAAAGGCAGUCGUCGGGCGAACACCGGCAACCGUCUGGAACACGCGGUCCUCACCCACAUCCAGCACGUGCCGUAGAUUCCCUACCAACGCCCCCUUCUUCAUCUCAUCAUCCAUCUCCCUCCAACCGGCAUCAGCUAUAUUACCGUGAAAGAGAUAGAUGCUAGCAGUCAUGGCUCGAGGAGACGAAUGUAAAACUGCUUCCAAGGCUAACUACGCUUGCAAGUCGUUCGACGUAUCCGCCCCGUUGCAAAAACCAGCGUACCAGGCGCCGCAGAAAUACCAGGCCGCUAAGAAGCCGGAGCAGAAGAAAGACUACGGAUCCUGGGGCCCCAUCUACAAGGACAAGAAGACUUUCACAGACAUGCACCUCUGCUGAACUCCAACUCCGAGCCGGGUCAUCGCCAUUACUAACAUCGUCACAUAGUUCUAGAGCUACUACCAAAAAUGUAACAAAUGUCGACAAAUAAACUAUGUCAAAUUCUCGUGUAAUUGUGAUUCUUUUGUGACGAAUAGCUUUUUCUUAUUGUUUCCAAUGGUGUAGGUUUGCUUGAUAACUAACAUAAUAUCAUGUAUCAUUAUUAACAGAUUAAACAUCAUCAUCAUGUAAUCAGAUUUUUUGUUGCGGACCUGAAUCUUAAAAGAGUAAUCUGAAUUUGAGCACUGAAAUUAGAAAUGUGAAUUUAAAUUGAGUGACGGGCGAUUCGUGUGUAUGUAUGAAAGAGCGUAGUUUUGAAACAGAAUAAACUAAAUUUUUGUA